AGCAGCCGCGGUAAUUCCAGCUCCAAUAGCGUAUAUUAAAGUUGUUGCAGUUAAAAGCUCGUAGUUGAAUUUCGGGAUUGACGUAAUGGUCGUGCCUUAAGGGGUAUGAACUGUUACUGUUGAUUUCUCACCUUCUGGUGGAUCUUGAUAUCCUUAAUUGGGUGUCUUGUGGAUCCAGGACCUUUACCUUGAAAAAUUGAGUGUUUAAAGCAGGCAUUUUGCUCGAAUACAUUAGCAUGGAAUAAUAGAAUAGGACGGCAUGGUUCUAUUUUGUUGGUUUCUAGGAUCACCGUAAUGAUUAAUAGGGAUAGUUGGGGGCAUUAGUAUUCAAUUGUCAGAGGUGAAAUUCUUGGAUUUAUUGAAGACUAACUACUGCGAAAGCAUUUGCCAAGGAUGUUUUCAUUAAUCAAGAACGAAAGUUAGGGAUCGAAGACGAUCAGAU
RNAcentral lists this unclassified non-coding RNA (442 nucleotides) under uncultured Glomus. RNAcentral's name for it is "SSU rRNA". It matches the Rfam family "Eukaryotic small subunit ribosomal RNA", at positions 569 to 1013 of the family's 1831-position model. Lineage: Eukaryota; Fungi; Glomeromycota; Glomeromycetes; Glomerales; Glomeraceae. The record is from RNAcentral.